RNAcentral lists this ribosomal RNA (254 nucleotides) under uncultured bacterium. Its description in RNAcentral is "partial 16S ribosomal RNA". It matches the Rfam family "Bacterial small subunit ribosomal RNA", at positions 524 to 776 of the family's 1533-position model. The record is from RNAcentral.
UACGGAGGGUGCAAGCGUUAAUCGGAAUUACUGGGCGUAAAGCGCACGCAGGUGGCUGAGUCAGUCGAUUGUGAAAGCCCUGGGCUUAACCUAGGAAUUGCGCUUGAGACUGGAUAGCUUGGAGUGCGGCAGAGGGAGGUGGAAUUCCACGUGUAGCAGUGAAAUGCGUAGAGAUGUGGAGGAACACCGAUGGCGAAGGCAGCCAUCUGGACCGACACUGACGCUGAGGCGCGAAAGCGUGGGGAGCAAACAGG